Molecule: long non-coding RNA, 722 nt
Filed under: Rattus norvegicus (Norway rat)
Lineage: Eukaryota; Metazoa; Chordata; Mammalia; Rodentia; Muridae
Description: long non-coding RNA NONRATT015588
Source: RNAcentral
GGUUUAAUGUUCUGAGUCAAAACUCUGACCUCCACCAUUACCCUUCUCACAUUUCCUGUUAGUGAAUUUAGAAAAGUUUGUUGAUCCUUCCUCCAAAAUAUUGUAAAUGUGACCAUUUCUCAGAAGUCCCAACUCCACAAGCUGCUCCUCCUCCCACUCCGGCUCCCCAAUUAGUUUCCUACAGCUCCCUGAUUUAAUCUCUGAGUUGGCAGUUAAGCCUGUAAUACCUCUGAGGGCCAGCUACCCACAAUAUCUCCAUUCUUCUGACUUGGAACCACAGGGUACAUCAUAGGCCCCUCCUAGGGACAAUCUGUAAAUUCAAAAGAGUCAUGGAAGGUCCCCAAAUGGAUUUGGCUACUCUGGUUUUAUCCCCAAAGCGGGCUAGAAAUCGCUGCGCCUUGUAAAAUGGGCCUAGAUUCUCCCCUGAGAAUGAAUUUGCGGUUCUCUAUUAGCAAGCCUGGAAAAUGACAACCCCUGACCGAUCCAGCCUCCUAAGCCUGCUUUGUACUGAGGCAUGGGCGGCCUAGUAAUUAACUACAAGACCCUGACGGUCCAAGAAACUUCUUGCACUGCUCUAGGAAGGAAGACUUCCCACGACCACACCACUCCUACCCCAAAAAGGCAUGUGAACCCACUCUCCUCCCCACCAGCUACAUCAGAUCCCUUCGGAUGCCUUGUUCUCAGCUCUGGAAACUUCGCACUAAAGAUCCACUGGGCUGCUU